This 253-nucleotide ribosomal RNA is filed under the name uncultured bacterium. Its description in RNAcentral is "partial 16S ribosomal RNA". It matches the Rfam family "Bacterial small subunit ribosomal RNA", at positions 524 to 776 of the family's 1533-position model. The record is from RNAcentral.
GACGUAGGAUGCAAGCGUUGUCCGGAUUUACUGGGCGUAAAGAGCGCGCAGGCGGUCGUUCAAGUCGAGUGUGAAAGCCCCCGGCUCAACUGGGGAGGGUCACUCGAUACUGAUCGACUCGAAGGCAGGAGAGGGUAGUGGAAUUCCCGGUGUAGUGGUGAAAUGCGUAGAUAUCGGGAGGAACACCAGUGGCGAAGGCGACUACCUGGCCUGUUCUUGACGCUGAGGCGCGAAAGCUAGGGGAGCAAACGGG